Molecule: ribosomal RNA, 468 nt
Filed under: uncultured bacterium
Lineage: Bacteria
Description: partial 16S ribosomal RNA
Rfam family: Bacterial small subunit ribosomal RNA
Source: RNAcentral
GACGAACGCUGGCGGCGUGCUUAACACAUGCAAGUCGAACGGAAAGGCCCUGCUUUUGUGGGGUGCUCGAGUGGCGAACGGGUGAGUAACACGUGAGUAACCUGCCCUUGACUUUGGGAUAACUUCAGGAAACUGGGGCUAAUACCGGAUAGGAGCUCCUGCUGCAUGGUGGGGGUUGGAAAGUUUCGGCGGUCGGGGAUGGACUCGCGGCUUAUCAGCUUGUUGGUGGGGUAGUGGCUUACCAAGGCUUUGACGGGUAGCCGGCCUGAGAGGGUGACCGGCCACAUUGGGACUGAGAUACGGCCCAGACUCCUACGGGAGGCAGCAGUGGGGAAUAUUGCACAAUGGGCGGAAGCCUGAUGCAGCAACGCCGCGUGCGGGAUGACGGCCUUCGGGUUGUAAACCGCUUUCGCCUGUGACGAAGCGUGAGUGACGGUAGUGGGUAAAGAAGCACCGGCUAACUACGUG